GGAGGGGAUACGUGCACGCUUGUCUCAUCUUUGUUAUUUCUCCAACUGUGCACAUUUUGUAGAUCCUGGAUGGAGCUUUUAUGAAUUUUCAUUCGAGUCGGGACUGCUGUGCUUCCUUUUUUGUGAAGUCGGCUUUCCCUUGCAUCUUCCAGGUCUAUGUUAUUUUUUUCACAACCUCUCAAACGUGUUUAGAAUGUUGAAUCAGGAGCUUUUUGCACCUAUAUAAAUGAAAUAUACAACUUUCAGCAACGGAUCUCUUGGCUCUCGCAUCGAUGAAGAACGCAGCGAAAUGCGAUAAGUAAUGUGAAUUGCAGAAUUCAGUGAAUCAUCGAAUCUUUGAACGCACCUUGCGCUCCUUGGUAUUCCGAGGAGCAUGCCUGUUUGAGUGUCAUUUGACUUAUCAACCACAUCAGAUGUUUUUUGAUGUGGCUUGGAUGUGGGGGUUUCUUUUGCCGGCUUAUACAAAAGGUCGGCUCCCCUGAAAUGUAUUAGUGGUAUCUGAGCUACUGCUAUCGGUGUGAUAAUUAUCUAUGCCUUUGGUAUGCUGCAUGAACAGAUUGCACUGCUUAUAACAAUCGAAUUUGACAAA
This 589-nucleotide ribosomal RNA is filed under the name uncultured Inocybe. Its description in RNAcentral is "eukaryotic LSU rRNA". The stretch from base 238 to 391 matches the Rfam family "5.8S ribosomal RNA". Lineage: Eukaryota; Fungi; Basidiomycota; Agaricomycetes; Agaricales; Cortinariaceae. The record is from RNAcentral.